GAUGAUCGCUAGCUACAGGCUUAACACAUGCAAGUCGCGGGGCAGCAUGGGGGUUGCUUGCAAUCCCCGAUGGCGACCGGCGCACGGGUGAGUAACGCGUAUCCAACCUGCCCUUCACCACGGGAUAACCCGGCGAAAGUCGGACUAAUACCGUAUGUUGUCCAUUGACGGCAUCCGAUUUGGACGAAAGGUUUGGCGGUGAAGGAUGGGGAUGCGUCCGAUUAGCUGGACGGCGGGGUGACGGCCCACCGUGGCGACGAUCGGUAGGGGUUCUGAGAGGAAGGUCCCCCACACUGGAACUGAGACACGGUCCAGACUCCUACGGGAGGCAGCAGUGAGGAAUAUUGGUCAAUGGGCGUAAGCCUGAACCAGCCAAGUAGCGUGCAGGAUGACGGCCCUAUGGGUUGUAAACUGCUUUUAUGCGGGGAUAAAGUGGCCCACGUGUGGGUUUUUGCAGGUACCGCAUGAAUAAGGACCGGCUAAUUCCGUG
RNAcentral lists this ribosomal RNA (490 nucleotides) under uncultured bacterium. RNAcentral's name for it is "partial 16S ribosomal RNA". It matches the Rfam family "Bacterial small subunit ribosomal RNA", at positions 28 to 507 of the family's 1533-position model. The record is from RNAcentral.